RNAcentral lists this long non-coding RNA (1457 nucleotides) under Notechis scutatus (mainland tiger snake). RNAcentral's name for it is "lncRNA (ENSNSUG00000003135.1)". Lineage: Eukaryota; Metazoa; Chordata; Lepidosauria; Squamata; Elapidae. The record is from RNAcentral.
CACUAAUGUUAUCUGUACCAGUAGUAGUAUCUCAGAAGAAAACUAAAUGCAGUUUAAUCACUGACUAUCAUAAUUUACUUCUUAAAAAGCAUGGUUUAGUAGACCCUUUUGCCAGUGAAGAUCUUCUUGUGCAACAUUUAGACAUUCAGAGGGAAGAUUCCAAAUCAGAUCGUACUAUUAAUCCUAGCAAAUUUUCCUCAGAUGAGAUCUCCCAUCAUCUUGAGUCUAUAAAUCAUAUUAUGGAUUGCGCCCCUAUGUACACAAAAGGUAGUUUAAACACACACCAUUUAGUUUUUGAUGCUGAUAAUGAAAUAUUUACAGAAGACAAAACAGUUUGUUUUAAAAACUUAAACUAUGUACAUAAACUAUCUACUUAUAGGCAUGAAAAAAUUAAGCCAGAAAAGGGCCAGGAAGAUAAGAAAAGUGAGAAAAAUAGGAACAAAAAUGGGAGAAAUUUUAAUAUAUGGCAAAGUGUUAUAAGCAAUAUUUUUGAUAAAACUUCAUAUUAUUUUGGAAAGAUAUAUAAAAAAACUAAUGAUAAUGACGAUUUCACAAAACAUAAAAUUAAUAAAAAUAUGAAAGCAGAGAGACAUAAGGCUAAAUAUGCCCGUGAACAAACAAAAUAUGAAUGUCAGGAUGUGAAUGUUUUUUAUUCUUUUAAUAAUAAAGUAAUGCAAUGGAAAAAAUAUGUUACUGCAGAUUCAGAAAAUGGUAACAGAAACACUGUCAGACUCCAAAUUCUGGAAAAAGAGUCUGUUUUCCAAAAUGCAAUUCAAAAUGGUAAAUUGAUAACAAAUACAGGCUUAGACUGGAAAGAUGCCAGUUCCUCCUUAAGAAUCCAGGAAUUUAAUUUAAAGCUAGUUAAGGAAUCAAGAAAGAUUAUUCAAGCAAAUAUUUGUGUAGAAGAAUUGCAGCAACUACAGAAAGAGUUUGAAAAGCUUCAGUACAACUUCUCCAUUUCUCCAUGUGAAGAUAUUUACAAGAAAAGAAAACAAGCAACAACUUUGGUGGAACAUAGAUGUAAAUUAAAUAUUGGACACGAGAAGUGUAUGAAGACCAAAAUGCAUUUACUGCCAGAAGUCCAAGGUCUAAUGUGGGAAAUCAGAAACAACUGUGGAAGCCAAAAGACAGAAUCAGAUAAUGGGAAAUUACCUGCCAAUGAUCUCAAAGAAAAAAAUCCUUUGAAUUCAAAUAAGAAAGCUAAGAAUGACCAGUAUUCUGAAAAAAAACCACCUCCCACAAAUACUAAGAAAAAGCCAAAUGCUUCAGGAAAAAAAUAUCUAGACCAACAGGACGUCAAAGAAGUACAAGAGAACAAUCUAAUGAAUCAAAGUUGUAUCAUUAGUAAUGAAAAUGAACGGCUACUUCACUUAACCCUGGAUUUGAAUACAUUCGGUGCCAUUGUAACUUCUAUUUUUUCAUCUAUGAUACCUAUAGGUAAAAAGGUAAGUUUCUUC